AGAGUAAAGUUGGGGUUGUUGGCUGCCUCUGGAGCCAGGCUGUAGUAGAAGUGCUGACCCUCCUGCGGGUCAUCCCUGUCAAUCGCGCUCACUGUCUGGAUCAGCUACAGAAUACAAGAACAAAGCAGAAACAGGACACAUGGAGGUAAUCACCUGCUGGCACCUGCCCAAGGGAAAGCUUUGCUUCAGCUGUGCUGUAUAUUGCACAGUGAGUCUGGACACUACUGCAUGAGAAAAAAAAAAAGGUGCUAUGUACGAUGUCAAUCCUGGUGUGAUGUGCUUGCCUUUGGAAAGAAGCACUGACAGCUGCCGACAGAGUUUAGAUAAAACAUGUGGUUAGCUGAGCCCUCUUUUCAGCGCUCAUCCUUUCCAGCAUGAUGCUUCCACAUAGGACCGCAUUCCCUCCAAAAACGCCUGGUGUUACCAGCCUUUCUCACCUGCCCUGCUUUGGCGUUUUCACAAACAAAAGCUUCAUAAAACCUCGCAAACUCUGGUGCAUUGUCGUUCACAUCCAGGACUUUCACUGUCACGGAGACGCUGCCCACUUGCGAGGGGUUGUCUGGAAGGAGAGGCACAAUGUAAAGAAGGGCAGUGUACAAGAAGGGGAAAGGGGCUGCUCCUCCCUCUGCUCAACAGCUCCAUGGCCAGUACAGUGAUGUUGUGCCAAGAAACGUCCUCCCGGUCAAGAGGUCUUGCAGUCAUCAGCGCUCCUGAUGUAAUGUCGACAUAAAAGAACCGCCCUGGAUCACUGCUCCUGUCAAUCGAGUAUCUGCAAGAGCACAUGUUAAAAAUAUUAUGCAACCCUUGUGAAAACUGUGUGCUAUAGCCAAUGAAGUAUCGCAGCAAUGGGAAUACUGUUAUGUACGGCAGAUCUACAUUCCUCCACAACCUAGUUAUGUGCUGCAUUGACUUAUAUAGGUACAGAGUGAGAUGCUCAAAAAACUAGGAGCUCAUGUGGCUAAUGGUGUUUAACGGACUGUUGCUGAACAGAGACAACUCAGAAGCUGGACUGAUACAAGGUUUGGCAAAGAUCAGCUCAACAGCCGAAGCAUUUUUCAGAUGAGAGAAGGAGCCGACCUGCAGGGAUUGUUAACUUGCAGUAACCUGGAGCUUCUGCAGGUUGUAAAAAUUAGUAUGUGGGCUGGCCUUAGAAAAAAAACAGUCUUCUCUGAUAAACUGGGCUGACUUGGCAGCCACUAUAGAAAAGAGCGCUCGUGAUCACACAAAUCUGCUCCUUUGGCUCCUUGCUGAGUUACCGCUAUGAAGCUCCCAUGGCUGUAAAUACAGCUUUACCUUUCUUAACUCCUCUGGGAAUACCUAGCUUUGCAGCUUUGACCAGACACUAUAUAACUUAGUGGUUCAUGAAUAUUUAUUAGCAUGCAUUCAAUCUACUCCAAAAGUAGCUGUGUAUUUGAGCUGUUGACAAAGGUGGGCUUUGAAACAGAAGGGAGAGAGAGAGGAGAAGAUGCGAACGAUCUCCAUAUCACAGAAAAGGCAAGGGUGAGCUCCUGCAUUGCUUUGGCAGUCAUAGCAAAACCGCUCAGUGUGUGCGAUCUGGUUUGACUAAACCCACUGAUGACUACCACGGGCUAAAAAGAAAGAGAGUUUCUCUUGUUUCAGCCCCAUCACUGCCCCACCAACCAAAAGUACCAGGGAGCGGUCCUGGGGGAGCACACAUGGAGAGGACAGACCUGAUGGAGUUGUUGGUCACAUCCGGGUCCUUGGCAGAAAUCAUCUGUAUGGUGGUUCCAAUCUCCACGUCCUCGGGCACUUCCACAAAGUAGAAGCUGGGCUCAAACACUGGAGGCUC
This is a long non-coding RNA of Columba livia (rock pigeon), 1810 nucleotides long. RefSeq lists it as uncharacterized. NCBI's taxonomy places the organism in Eukaryota, Metazoa, Chordata, Aves, Columbiformes, Columbidae. The transcript is spliced from 4 exons. The record is from RefSeq and is a predicted model, not a curated record.